UUUUGGUCCCAUGUGUUUUAGUUUUUGGAAGCAGCUGUAUUGGUAAAGCUUCUGGCUGAAUUACCGGACAAAGCCUGCAUUAUAAAAAUCCUCAGCUUGUUUGCUCUUCACUUCAAAAAGACUGUGGGCUGCCAGCUUGUCAUACUCAUAUUACCCACAUGCCUGCUGAAGUUUUCACCAGCAGGCAUGAAUCUCUGGGUCUCUGCUUUUUUUUUCUUUUUUUAAUUGGUUGGCCUAUAGCUAUUUGGUUUGAUAUGUAUUUGUCAAAGACAAAUCAUAUAGGGGCUGGCACAAGACAGCUGGCAGUCUAUGGCCCUCCCAGAAGCAAGGAGGUUUUGGAUGAAGGAUUUUACUUUUUCCCCUGGUCUGAAUCUUCAGAAUAGGGCUGAACCUGGCAUAGAAGACUUCUGUUGGCUUUUGGAAAGCUGAUUGCUCAGUCAUUGAACUCAGAAUGUGUUUGGAGUGAGAGUGUGUGUAUGUACCGGCAUCUGGGACCCUGAUGCAGUAAAGCAGGCUAAGGUCUUCACUUAAGUGUCAUAUUCACAGAGAGGCUUUCCCUGGUUACUCUACCUAAAAUGAUGGAUGGAGGAAGAGAAGGCUGUGACAAAAAUGGUGGAAAAUUUUCAAAGUAGUUGUAGUCAAGCCAGGAUACCCAUUCUAAAUAUCAAGAAGGGAAAAGCUGAAGAAAGAAAUUCUCAAUCUUGUCAAAUCCUUCACAGUAUCAAAAGGAAUGAAUGAAAUAAAAUAUUACUAAUAAAAGAAAAUAUUGCA
This is a long non-coding RNA of Physeter macrocephalus (sperm whale), 771 nucleotides long. RefSeq lists it as uncharacterized. The transcript has 3 exons. Lineage: Eukaryota; Metazoa; Chordata; Mammalia; Artiodactyla; Physeteridae. The record is from RefSeq and is a predicted model, not a curated record.